Molecule: ribosomal RNA, 253 nt
Filed under: uncultured bacterium
Lineage: Bacteria
Description: partial 16S ribosomal RNA
Rfam family: Bacterial small subunit ribosomal RNA
Source: RNAcentral
UACGGGGGGGGCAAGCGUUGUUCGGAAUUACUGGGCGUAAAGGGCUCGUAGGUGGCCAACUAAGUCAGACGUGAAAUCCCUCGGCUUAACCGGGGAACUGCGUCUGAUACUGGAUGGCUUGAGUUUGGGAGAGGGACGCGGAAUUCCAGGUGUAGCGGUGAAAUGCGUAGAUAUCUGGAGGAACACCGGUGGCGAAGGCGGCGUCCUGGACCAACACUGACACUGAGGGGCGAAAGCCAGGGGAGCAAACGGG